Molecule: ribosomal RNA, 809 nt
Filed under: uncultured bacterium
Lineage: Bacteria
Description: bacterial SSU rRNA
Rfam family: Bacterial small subunit ribosomal RNA
Source: RNAcentral
AGAGUUUGAUCCUGGCUCAGAUUGAACGCUGGCGGCAUGCUUUACACAUGCAAGUCGGACGGCAGCACAGAGAAGCUUGCUUCUUGGGUGGCGAGUGGCGAACGGGUGAGUGAUAUAUCGGAACGUACCGAGUAAUGGGGGAUAACUAAUCGAAAGAUUAGCUAAUACCGCAUAUUCUCUGAGGAGGAAAGCAGGGGACCUUCGGGCCUUGCGUUAUUCGAGCGGCCGAUAUCUGAUUAGCUAGUUGGUGGGGUAAAGGCCUACCAAGGCGACGAUCAGUAGCGGGUCUGAGAGGAUGAUCCGCCACACUGGGACUGAGACACGGCCCAGACUCCUACGGGAGGCAGCAGUGGGGAAUUUUGGACAAUGGGCGCAAGCCUGAUCCAGCCAUGCCGCGUGUCUGAAGAAGGCCUUCGGGUUGUAAAGGACUUUUGUCAGGGAAGAAAAGGCUGUUGCUAAUAUCGACAGCUGAUGACGGUACCUGAAGAAUAAGCACCGGCUAACUACGUGCCAGCAGCCGCGGUAAUACGUAGGGUGCGAGCGUUAAUCGGAAUUACUGGGCGUAAAGCGAGCGCAGACGGUUACUUAAGCAGGAUGUGAAAUCCCCGGGCUCAACCUGGGAACUGCGUUCUGAACUGGGUGACUAGAGUGUGUCAGAGGGAGGUAGAAUUCCACGUGUAGCAGUGAAAUGCGUAGAGAUGUGGAGGAAUACCGAUGGCGAAGGCAGCCUCCUGGGAUAACACUGACGUUCAUGCUCGAAAGCGUGGGUAGCAAACAAGAUUAGAUACCCUGGUAGUCCACGCCCUAAA